This 253-nucleotide ribosomal RNA is filed under the name uncultured bacterium. RNAcentral describes it as "partial 16S ribosomal RNA". It matches the Rfam family "Bacterial small subunit ribosomal RNA", at positions 524 to 776 of the family's 1533-position model. The record is from RNAcentral.
UACGAAGGGGGCUAGCGUUGCUCGGAAUUACUGGGCGUAAAGCGUGCGCAGGCGGUUUGUUAAGUCUGUUGUGAAAUCCCCGAGCUCAACUUGGGAAUUGCAAUGGAUACUGGCAGGCUGGAGUAUGGUAGAGGAAGGUGGAAUUCCCGGUGUAGCAGUGAAAUGCGUAGAGAUCGGGAGGAACACCAGUGGCGAAGGCGGCCUUCUGGACCAAUACUGACGCUCAUGCACGAAAGCGUGGGGAGCAAACAGG